RNAcentral lists this long non-coding RNA (1497 nucleotides) under Rhinopithecus bieti (black snub-nosed monkey). Its description in RNAcentral is "lncRNA (ENSRBIG00000045289.1)". Lineage: Eukaryota; Metazoa; Chordata; Mammalia; Primates; Cercopithecidae. The record is from RNAcentral.
GGUCUGUGCUUCUCACUUAAUUUUACUUGAUUAUCGAAGUCAACUUACCAUUAAAUAAUUGAAUAGUGUAUUUAAGAUAACUGAGGAUAUGGUUUGAAUUUAAAUGCCCCAAAAAAUAUAUGUUGAAAGGGGUGAAUACUUUUAUCAUUUUGAAACCAGGUCGUGAUUCAGAGUAAUGAUGAUAUUGCCAGCAGAGCUAUAGAUCUCCUCAAAGAGAUAUACACAAACCUUGGUCCAAGACUACAAGUCAAUCAGGUGGUGAUCCAUGAAGACUUCAUUCAGUCUUGUUUUGAUCGUCUGAAGGCUUCCUAUGACACGUUGUGUGUUUUGGAUGGUGACAAAGACAGUGUUAAUUGUGCAAGACAGGAAGCUGUUCGAAUGGUUCGAGUAUUAACUGUUUUAAGGGAAUAUAUAAAUGAAUGUGACAGUGAUUAUCAUGAGGAAAGAACAAUUCUCCCUAUGUCAAGAGCAUUCCGUGGUAAACACCUCUCUUUUGUAGUUCGAUUUCCAAACCAGGGCAGACAGGUUGAUGACUUGGAGGUAUGGUCUCAUACAAAUGAUACAAUUGGUUCAGUACGACGAUGUAUUCUCAAUCGUAUUAAAGCCAACGUAGCCCACACAAAAAUUGAGCUCUUUGUGGGCGGUGAGCUGAUAGAUCCUGCAGAUGAUAGAAAGUUGAUUGGACAAUUAAACUUAAAAGAUAAAUCGCUUAUUACAGCCAAACUUACACAAAUAAGUUCCAAUAUGCCUUCAAGCCCUGAUAGCUCUUCUGAUUCCUCCACUGGAUCUCCUGGAAACCAUGGUAAUCAUUACAGUGAUGGUCCCAAUCCAGAAGUGGAAAGCUGUUUGCCUGGAGUGAUAAUGUCACUGCAUCCCAGAUACAUCUCUUUUCUUUGGCAAGUUGCAGACUUAGGUAGCAGCCUAAAUAUGCCACCGCUUAGAGAUGGAGCAAGAGUACUUAUGAAACUUAUGCCGCCAGAUAGCACAACAAUAGAAAAAUUAAGAGCUAUUUGUUUAGACCAUGCCAAACUUGGAGAAAGCAGCCUUAGUCCAUCUCUUGACUCACUUUUCUUUGGUCCUUCAGCCUCACAAGUGCUAUAUCUAACAGAGGUUGGUUUUUUGUUGUUGUUGUGUUGUGUUGUUUUAAUUUAUUCUGUGUUCUUUAAAUUUGACCUUUCGUAUGGUAAGGUGAAUGAUUUGGGUAAAAUUGUAAUGAAAUAGUUUUGAAAUGAAAUAUUAAUUUGAAAUAAAUAAUAGUGAGAUGGUCAAGAAUUUCUUGGCAGUGACAAUAGUACAAAUAGAAGUUUGUUUGUUUGUUUUUAAUCUUUUAAUACAGCCCUCUCCCCCUCUUCUCUAUUUUUCCAGGUAGUCUAUGCCUUGUUAAUGCCUGCUGGUGCACCUCUGGCUGAUGAUUCCUCUGAUUUUCAGUUUCACUUCUUGAAAAGUGGUGGCCUACCCCUUGUACUGAGUAUGCUAACCAGAAAUAACUUCCUACCA